CCCUUAGAUGUCCUGGGCCGCACGCGUGCUACACUGACGCCUACAGCGAGUACUUCCCAGCCCCGAGAGGUGGCUGGUAAUCAGCAAUAGGCGUCGUGAUGGGGGUAGAUCUUUGGAAUUAUGGAUCUUGAACGAGGAAUGCCUAGUAAGCGCAGGUCAUUAGCCUGCGCUGAUUAAGUCCCUGCCCUUUGUACACACCGCCCGUCGCUCCUACCGAUUUCGAGUGGUCCGGUGAAUCUUUCGGACUGCGCGCGGCCUCGUGCCGUGUCGCGGAAAGUCAGGUAAACCUUAUCACUUAGAGGAAGGAGAANUCGUANCA
This 319-nucleotide ribosomal RNA is filed under the name uncultured eukaryote. Its description in RNAcentral is "partial 18S ribosomal RNA". It matches the Rfam family "Eukaryotic small subunit ribosomal RNA", at positions 1470 to 1796 of the family's 1831-position model. The record is from RNAcentral.